This 755-nucleotide ribosomal RNA is filed under the name Galerina subcerina. Its description in RNAcentral is "LSU rRNA". It matches the Rfam family "Eukaryotic large subunit ribosomal RNA", at positions 200 to 945 of the family's 3401-position model. Lineage: Eukaryota; Fungi; Basidiomycota; Agaricomycetes; Agaricales; Galerinaceae. The record is from RNAcentral.
GCGUCGUAGAGGGUGAGAAUCCCGUCUUUGACACGGACUGCCAGGGCUUUGUGAUACGCUCUCAAAGAGUCGAGUUGUUUGGGAAUGCAGCUCAAAAUGGGUGGUAAAUUCCAUCUAAAGCUAAAUAUUGGCGAGAGACCGAUAGCGAACAAGUACCGUGAGGGAAAGAUGAAAAGAACUUUGGAAAGAGAGUUAAACAGUACGUGAAAUUGCUGAAAGGGAAACGCUUGAAGUCAGUCGCGUUUGCCGGGGAUCACCUUGCUUUUGCUGGGCGUACUCUCCGGUCGACGGGCCAGCAUCAAUUUUGGCCACUGGAAAAAGGCCGAGGGAAUGUGGCAUCUUCGGAUGUGUUAUAGCCCUUGGUUGCAUACAGUGGCUGGGAUUGAGGAACUCAGCACGCCGCAAGGCCGGGUUUUUAACCACGUUCGUGCUUAGGAUGCUGGCAUAAUGGCUUUAAUCGACCCGUCUUGAAACACGGACCAAGGAGUCUAACAUGCCUGCGAGUGUUUGGUGGAAAACCCGAGCGCGUAAUGAAAGUGAAAGUUGAGAUCCCUGUCGUGGGGAGCAUCGACGCCCGGACCAGACCUUUUGUGACGGAUCUGCGGUAGAGCAUGUAUGUUGGGACCCGAAAGAUGGUGAACUAUGCCUGAAUAGGGUGAAGCCAGAGGAAACUCUGGUGGAGGCUCGUAGCGAUUCUGACGUGCAAAUCGAUCGUCAAAUUUGGGUAUAGGGGCGAAAGACUAAUCGAACCAUCU